Molecule: ribosomal RNA, 427 nt
Filed under: uncultured bacterium
Lineage: Bacteria
Description: partial 16S ribosomal RNA
Rfam family: Bacterial small subunit ribosomal RNA
Source: RNAcentral
GUGGGGAAUAUUGGGCAAUGGGGGAAACCCUGACCCAGCGACGCCGCGUGAGGGAAGAAGGCCUUAGGGUCGUAAACCUCUGUUGUGUGGGAAGAAGAGCGUGACGGUACCACACGAGGAAGUCCCGGCUAACUACGUGCCAGCAGCCGCGGUAAUACGUAGGGGACGAGCGUUGUCCGGAUUUACUGGGCGUAAAGGGCGCGUAGGCGGUCAUUUAAGUCAGCUGUGAAAUGGUUUGGCUUAACCGGAUCAUGAGGUUAGAACUGGAUGACUGGAGUGCUGGAGAGGCAAGUGGAAUGCCCAGUGUAGCGGGGAAAUGCGUAGAUAUUGGGAAGAACACCGGUGGCUAAGGCGACUUGCUGGCCAGCAACUGACGCUGAGGCGCGAAAGCCAGGGGAGCAAACGGGAUUAGAAACCCUGGUAGUCC